AUUGAACGCUGGCGGCAGGCCUAACACAUGCAAGUCGAGCGAGCGGCGGACGGGUGAGUAAUGUCUGGGAAACUGCCUGAUGGAGGGGGAUAACUACUGGAAACGGUAUCUAAUACCGCAUACCCUCAGAUAUGCCCAGAUGUGAUUAGCUCGUAGGUGGGGUAACGGCUAACCUAGGCGACGAUCCCUAGCUGGUCUGAGAGGAUGACCAGCCACACGGGAACUGAGACACGGCCCAGACUCCUACGGGAGGCAGCAGUGGGGAAUAUUGCACAAUGGGCGCAAGCCUGAUGCAGCCAUGCCGCGUGUGUGAAGAAGGCCUUCGGGUUGUAAAGUACUUUCAGCGGGGAGGCGUUACCCGCAGAAGAAGCACCGGCUAACUCCGUGCCAGCAGCCGCGGUAAUUC
This 406-nucleotide ribosomal RNA is filed under the name uncultured bacterium. Its description in RNAcentral is "partial 16S ribosomal RNA". It matches the Rfam family "Bacterial small subunit ribosomal RNA", at positions 30 to 526 of the family's 1533-position model. The record is from RNAcentral.